RNAcentral lists this long non-coding RNA (467 nucleotides) under Manihot esculenta (cassava). RNAcentral describes it as "long non-coding RNA (MESC_LNC000508)". Lineage: Eukaryota; Viridiplantae; Streptophyta; Magnoliopsida; Malpighiales; Euphorbiaceae. The record is from RNAcentral.
AGCUUUGGUGUUUUGAAGAUGGACUGGCACAGGCUCGCUCCUCGGACUUCCCCAACUUCCUGGCUUUUGUGUCUUUGGCUUCACAUUCUUCUGGGUAUGCAAAAAAGUCAAGAUUUAAUGCACUGUUUUUAAUGAUUUUUUUUAUAUAUAUAUAUCAGAAAGAAAAUUAAUACCCAGAUAUAGAAUUGCAUACCUGAUGAUUCAAAUUGAAAUUUUGGUCUUCAGAUGCUUGAAGAUAUUUAACCAAAGCUUGAUGCUGCUCUCCUGCAAAUAUAAUGAACCAGUAUUCAUAUUCUGGAUAGAUAUCACAUGCCACAUCUUACAAGCUUAAAAAAUUUCAAGUAAUCUCACAUGGAUAAACAGUGAAUGCAGCAAUUAAUAUUGCAAGUAAAACUGGAUUAGAUUCCCUGAAGCUUCAAAAUUGUACAGUUACAGUAGAAUAUCUACACAUGAUCUGUUGGGUACAU